AACGCUGGCGGCGCGCCUAACACAUGCAAGUCGAGCGAGAGAGUGGAGCAAUCCAUGAGUAAAGCGGCGUACGGGUGAGUAACACGUGGGUGAUCUACCUCUUAGUGGGGAAUAACCCUGGGAAACCGGGGCUAAUACCGCAUAAGCCUGAGAAGGGAAAGCAGCAAUGCGCUGAGAGAGGAGCCCGCGGCCGAUUAGCUAGUUGGUGAGGUAAGAGCCCACCAAGGCAGAGAUCGGUAGCCGGCCUGAGAGGGCACACGGCCACACUGGCACUGAAACACGGGCCAGACUCCUACGGGAGGCAGCAGUGGGGAAUCUUGCACAAUGGGGGAAACCCUGAUGCAGCGACGCCGCGUGAGCGAUGAAGCCCUUCGGGGUGUAAAGCUCUUUCGUCAGGGAAGAUAGUGACGGUACCUGGAGAA
RNAcentral lists this ribosomal RNA (422 nucleotides) under uncultured bacterium. RNAcentral's name for it is "bacterial SSU rRNA". It matches the Rfam family "Bacterial small subunit ribosomal RNA", at positions 32 to 486 of the family's 1533-position model. The record is from RNAcentral.